Molecule: transfer RNA, 81 nt
Organism: Yarrowia lipolytica
Lineage: Eukaryota; Fungi; Ascomycota; Dipodascomycetes; Dipodascales
Rfam family: tRNA
About the family: Transfer RNA (tRNA) molecules are approximately 80 nucleotides in length. Their secondary structure includes four short double-helical elements and three loops (D, anti-codon, and T loops).
Source: Rfam
GGGCGGUUGGUGUAGUGGUAACAUAUCUGCCUUCCAAACAGUUGCUAGCAGGUGCCAGGGGUUCAAUUCCCCUACCGCUCA